This 84-nucleotide small nucleolar RNA is filed under the name Penicillium oxalicum 114-2. Lineage: Eukaryota; Fungi; Ascomycota; Eurotiomycetes; Eurotiales; Aspergillaceae. The record is from RNAcentral.
UCAUCGUGAUGAGACACAUUUUUCAGUUCUGCUUCUGCAAAAUUUUUGAAGAUAACAAAAUACCUUACCAAAACUUUCUGAGAC